This 225-nucleotide long non-coding RNA is filed under the name Chloebia gouldiae (Gouldian finch). RNAcentral's name for it is "Erythrura gouldiae (Gouldian finch) lncRNA (ENSEGOG00005003968.1)". Lineage: Eukaryota; Metazoa; Chordata; Aves; Passeriformes; Passeridae. The record is from RNAcentral.
UACCUGUGAAAUGAAACCAUUUAUUUAUUUGUAUUUAUUGUUUAUUUGUAUUUAUCACAGAUAUCUUUUUCUACCUGCAGGGUCUUAAGGGUUACCCAGGACUGCAAGGGCCACGGGGAGAGCAGGGAAUUCCAGGAAUGGCUGGCAGUAUUGGGGCAGUUGGUUACCCUGGCAGGCAGGGCCUAGCUGGACCAGAAGGUAACCCAGGUCCUAAAGGAGUAAGAG